ACGCAAUUAGAAAAUUCAAUGCCACAGUAACCAAAAAACGGCAACAAAAAGCUUGGAAUGAAGUGUUAGAAGAAAUAAAUCUUUCGUUCCCCAAAGAAAAGCCAAAAAAUGGCACAGAAAUGAAAAAAAAAUUGAAUAAUUUGAAGACUGCUGCCAAACUAGACAAAGCGCAACACAAGAAAUCUAGGACUGAAACGGGUGGAGGUGUAGAACAUGUUAUGAAGCCGAUACAUGCUAAGAGGUAUGAGCAUAUUUUUGGAAAAUAAAAUCCUUGUUUGCCUGGAAGUAUGAUUGAGGGGUGUGUGAAAAGUGAAACCGCUUAUGGUUUGCCGUACCGUGCUUUCUCCGAAAUCCAAGAGACGUCGACCGAAUAUGAACUAACAGUUAAUAGGGAUGAAUAUAUUCCUGGGACAAAUUUUGAAUUCACAACCCUUGCGGCUGUACAAACUUUAGCAACUGACAGGAGUGAAAAUGAUAUUGAAACGGGAGACAUUAGGGUGUCCCAUAUUUAGGCUUUUUUUUAUUUUUUGAAUUUUUUUUUUAUCGGGGUGUGUUUUUUGAAGAAAAACGUCGUAGUGCUAUUCAUUUUAAAAAAAAAUAAGUCUAGGGGUCCCCGUAGGCGAAAAACCGCCAAAAAGUGCCAAAAACUACGAUUUUUGGUACUAAAAAAUUAAAAAUAAAUACUUAGGUUUCAUA
Molecule: long non-coding RNA, 696 nt
Organism: Daphnia magna
Lineage: Eukaryota; Metazoa; Arthropoda; Branchiopoda; Diplostraca; Daphniidae
Exons: 4
Source: RefSeq, a predicted model, not a curated record